AAAUUCUAUAUGGUUGGGACCAAAUUUUGUUAAUGUGUAGCAAAAUUUUCUCCAAAGGAUUGAAUUUAUAAGCUUUCAUUAUUGUCUAUAAAAUGGAGUUGUGCAUUUCUCUUGUUCUGUGUACACACAUCUUUAUUGUGAUUGAGUUGUUGCCUAUGUUUUGGUAGUGUAUUGUAAUUGAGGAUGCAGUGGCUGGAGUUCAAGAAUGGUGAAGCUACAAGAAAGUUGAAUUCAGGAUGCAGUUGCAACAGUUCUGGAAUGGUGAAGCUACAAGAAAGUUGAAUACAAGAAACUUGUGCUUGUAGGAAACUUAGUUGUGUAUAGGAAAAACAUAUGUACAGUAGGAAACUUCAAUUGUCUCUUGUUUUUGCAUGAGUUGGAAAUAAAUACAAGAAGAGUUGGUUCUGAUAUACACUUGUGCUUUUACACUUGGUUGUAAUCUGAUAUGAACAAACUUGUACAAAAUACAAAGUGAUGCAAAAUCAGAUCUGAACAAAGAUGUUCCUAUAUACAAACUUGCUACUCUGAUAUGAACAAACAUGUCCCAAAUUACCAACUUCAUCUGAACUGAACAAACAUGUUCCAAACAGCAAAAUACAUCUGAUCUGAACAAACUUGGUUCUACUACUUUGUACACAAAAUUUGUACAUCUUUACAGAUUGAUGAUUAGUUGUAUGAAACAGUAACAAUCAAUAGUCCUUACAUAUUAUCUGCAAAACAAAACAAGCAAUAGGCUGAUCAAGUUAAAAAAAAAAAACAUUCCAAGUUCCUACAACAACAAUAUCUUAAUCAUCAAGCAUACAAAAGGCUGAUCUGGAAGAAAAAAAAAACAGAAAACACUAGAAAAACCAGUUGCAGUUGGAAUAGUAACUUCAUGAUCUAGCAAACCAAAAACAGCAUACCAGAUUUCAUAAGAGCAAGUAAUAGGCUGAUCUGGAAAGAAAAAAAAAAAACAGUUGCAGUUGCAACAGUAACUUCAUCAUCAAGCAAACCAAAACAGCAAUAGCAGAUUUUAUAAUAGCAAGGACUAUUGGCUGAUCUGGUAAAAAUAAAAAAAAAUAAAAUAUUCCAGUUGCAGUAUCAUAGCAGAUAUGCAAGAAAGCAAGCAAUAGGCUAAUCAGUUAAAAAAAAAUUCCAGUUCUAACAAUAAAUUAAACAUGUUUCAACCAUAUUACUAUCAAUACCAGAUCUGCAAAACAAAGAUAAG
Molecule: long non-coding RNA, 1207 nt
Filed under: Fragaria vesca (wild strawberry)
Lineage: Eukaryota; Viridiplantae; Streptophyta; Magnoliopsida; Rosales; Rosaceae
Description: long non-coding RNA (FVES_LNC004910)
Source: RNAcentral